Molecule: long non-coding RNA, 3322 nt
Filed under: Homo sapiens (human)
Lineage: Eukaryota; Metazoa; Chordata; Mammalia; Primates; Hominidae
Description: non-protein coding FAM230B:1
Source: RNAcentral
AGCAGUUGGACCUCACAGUGUGGAUUGUGCCUUCACCCUGGAAUGUUUAUGCCCUAUCACCAUGGUGAUGGGAUUAGGGAUCUCCUGCCCUUGGUCCUAAGUGCCACUAUCUGUGCUGAGUUUUUCAAAGGUCAGAGCAGAUUGAACCAUUGUGGUUUCAUUUUCCCUGAUUUUGAUUUUUCUUAUGGGGAACCUGUGUGGCUGCAUUCAAGGUGACUCGAAGAAGCCUUCCAAAAAGCAUGUGAAAAGGAAGCCCUACUCUACUACCAAGGUGACUUCAGGGAGCACAUUCAAUGAGAAUACAAGAAGAUAUGCUGUGCACACCAACCAGUGUAGGAGACCUCAUGGCUCCCGGGUAAAGAAGAAGAGGUACCCACAAGAAGAUGACUUCCAUCAUACAGUCUUCAGCAACCUUGAAAGAUUGGACAAGCUUCAGCCCACUCUUGAAGCCUCUGAGGAGUCUCUAGUUCACAAGGACAGAGGAGAUGGAGAGAGGCCAGUCAACGCGAGGGUGGUGCAGGUGGCCCCUCUGAGGCUUGAAUCUACUCCCCAUGAGGACACCGUACACGACAUCACUAACGAGGACGCCACACACGACAUCGCUAACGAGGAUACUGUACACGACAUCGCUAACGAGGCCGCCGACAAGGGCAUCGCCAACGAGGAUGCCGCCCACGGCAUCGCCAACGAGACGCCGCCCAGGGCAUCGCCAACGAGGGCGCCGCCCAGGGCAUCGCCAAAGAGGACGCCGCCCAGGGCAUCGCUAACGAGGCCGCCGACAAGGGCAUCGCCAACGAGGAUGCCGCCCACGGCAUCGCCAACGAGGACGCCGCCCACGGCAUCGCCAGCGAGGACGCCGCCCACGGCAUCGCCAGCGAGGACGCCGCCCACGGCAUCGCCAGCGAGGACGCCGCCCAGGGCAUCGCCAACGAGGACGCCAUCCAGGGCAUCGCCAAGGAGUACGCCGUCCACGGCAUCGCCAACGAGGACGCCGCCCAGGGCAUCGCCAACGAGGACGCCGCCCAGGGCAUCGCCAACGAGGACGCCGCCCAGGGCAUCGCCAAGGAGGACGCCGCCCAGGGCAUCGCCAAGGAGGACGCCGCCCAGGGCAUCGCCAACGAGGGCGCCGCCCAGGGCAUCGCCAAAGAGGACGCCGCCCACGGCAUCGCCAACGAGGACGCCGCCCAGGGCAUCGCCAACGAGGACGCCGCCCACGGAAUCGCCAGUGAGGACGCCGCCCACGGCAUCGCCAGCGAGGACGCCGUCCAGGGCAUCGACAAGGAGGAUGCCGCCCAGGGCAUCGCCAACGAGGACGCCGCCCAGGGCAUCGCCAACGAGGACGCCGCCCAGGGCAUCGCCAAAGAGGACGCCGCCCACGGCAUCGCCAACGAGCUGUAUACGACAUCGCUAACGAGGACACCCUACAAGCCGUCGCUAACAAGUACACUGUACACAACAUCGCUAAUGAGGGCACUGUACAAGACAUCACCAAUGAGGGCGCUUUAUACGACAUUGCUAAUGGCACCGACAAGGCACGCUAACGUGGACGCUGUACACGACAUUGCUAAUGAGGACAGCGUAUAAGACAUCGCUAGUAACUAUCGCAAGAACAAAAAACCAAACACCGCAUAUUCUCACUCAUAGAUGGGAAUUGAACAAUGAGAUCACAUGGACACAGGAAGGGGAAUAUCACACUCUGGGGACUGUUGUGGGGUUGGGGGGGGAGGGAUAGCAUCGGGAGAUAUACCUAAUGCUAGAUGAUGAGUUAGUGGGUGCAGCGCACCAGCACGGCACAUGUAUACAUAUGUAACUAACCUGCACAAUGUGCACAUGUACCCUAAAACUUAAAGUAUAUAUAUAAAAAAAAAGACAUCGCUAGUGAGCACGCUGUAUACGACAUCGCUAAUGAGGACACCAUACAAGGCAUCGCUAACGAUGACGCUGUACACAACAUCACUAAUGAUGACACCGUAUAAGACAUCGCUAAUUAUGACGCUGUAUACGACAUCGCUAAUGACACCGUACAAGGCACGCUAACGAGGAUGCUGUACACGACAUCACUAAUGAGGACAGUGUACAAGCCAUCACUAAUGAGGACACUGUAUAUGGCAUCGCUAACGAGGACACUGUACAAGCCAUUGCUAACGAGGACGCUGUACACAACAUCGCUAAUGAGGACACCAUAUAAGACAUCACCAAUGAGGAUGCUGUAUAUGACAUCGCUAAUGGCACCCACAAGGCAUGCUAACGAGGACGCUGUAGACGACAUUGCUUAUAAGGACACCGUACAAGACAUCGCUAACGAGGACGCUGUAUACGACAUCGCUAAUGAGGACGUUGUAUAUGACAUCGCUAAUGAGGAUGCUUUACAAGACAUAGCUAAUGAGGUUGCUGUAUAUGACAUCGCUAAUGAGGACAUUGUAUAUGACAUCGCUAAUGAGGACGCUCUAUACGACAUCACUAAUGAGGACGCUGUAUACAACAUCGCUAAUGAGGACGCUGUAUAUGGCAUCGCUAAUGAGGAUGCUGUAUACGAAUUCGCUAAUAAGGACGCUGUAUAUGACAUUGCUAAUGAGGACACUGUACAAGACAUCUGUAAAAAAGAAGAUGCUGCCAAUGAGCCAUUGACACUGGAGAAUGAUACGUACCCUGAAAUAACUCACUUCCUGAGGAAAAAGCGCCAUCUCUAGGAUUUGAUUGUGGAGAGCAUAUCUGAUGAUGGGGAUUUGUAGGACUUUAAAAAGCACUCAUGUUUCCAUCCUCACUGUUGACUCCUGGCUUAAAGGGAUCUCCCGGGGUGAGUGAGGAGGCGGGAUCGGACCCUGGCAGUCUGACGGCAGCACCUGUGUUCCUCUGCACUGGGCCGUGGAUGACAUUACAUACCUUGCCACUCCCACGGUCCUGUGUGUUCCGGAUAUUUUAAAAUAAUGGCUAUAAGGUUGAGCACUUCAGGAUACGCUGUUUUGCUGUGUGCAGAUGGAGGCAGUGGCUGGAGUGAAUGAACGGCAACACUUGCUGGCAACCGGCAGAAGCUGAGAGACAGGGAACAGGCUCUCCUCCAGAGCCUCCAGGAGCCAGGCCUUUGGACAACUUGAAUGUGGGCUUCUGGGAGACCAUGCGUUUCUGUUAUAAGCAGCCCAGUCUCUGGCAGUUUUUACGGCUGCCCCGGAACACUCAUCUAUACCUGUCUGACAAGGUCAAGCUCCAAGGAAGGGACUCUCUACAUAUCUACAUUGUUUGCAGAUUUUACAAUAAUCAUUUAUUCUUGCAUGGCUGAUCAUUGUUAACCAAUACAAAUAAAAUAAUAAAGAAAUGACCCACA